AUGCUACUCUUUCUAUCCACCGGCUGGUGGAGAAUGCUGACGAAUGUAUGGUGCUUGAUAACGAGGCCUUAUAUGACAUCUGCUUCAGGACUCUCAAGCUAACUACACCUAGCUGUGAGUUUACCAUACUAUGUUACCUUAUCUUAAGCUUAACUUCAAGUUUAUUUUUCCUUAUGCUUUUUGAUUUCUUAUAUGGGUUUAGUGCCCCUCUUAUUUUAUUCUCGUUGAUAGUAAUGAUCUCAUUUUAGGCACUGUUAAUCUGAUUUCAAUCCGAUUUUAGGCUCUGUUUGGUCGAUGCCAAAAAAUGCAUCGAUCUCAUUUUAGUUUACAGUAGUUAUUUAUUAGAGAUCUUGAUCUUUGAUACUGAGUUUGUAUUAAUGGUGAUUUUGUCCUUUAGAGAUCAAGAUGCCAAAUACAGGAUUACUGUUAACUAAAAUGAGAUGCGCUUUUUUUUAGGCGUAUACUAAGCAGGGCCUUAGCUAAAAUGAUGCAUAAGGAGUUCAUAUUAGCUGUGAUUAUGUAUUAGAGGUCCAGAUCUCCAAUACAUAAUUACUGUUAACCGAAAUGUGAUGAUCUCAAUUUUAGGUGUCUACCAAACUGGGCCUUUGUUUGCUUAUGAAGAUGACCAAACAGGGCCUUAGUUUGUAUUUUUACGCUGUGGCCGUCUUUGCUGCCAUUUCUUUCUGAAAAAUGAUGAUGCUAAAUUGUCUUUUUCAUCGAGUGACAGAGAUGAUUGUCCUUUUCCCUCACUUUUUCCUUUUUCACAUAAUAGAAAUCACCUAGAAAAAUGUGAUGUCUACUCAAAAGACUCACUCUACCUGAUGUGCUAGUGUGGUGUAUCUGUGUAAGAUCCAAGCUAUUCAUCAGGCAAAGUUAAAGGAGACUCGGUAUCACAGUAUAGAGGUAUGAAGGAUGCGUUUGAUGUUUCUCUGGUAGGGGUACUGAGAAGAUUCCAGGAGCAAAGAAGGACAUAAAUGGAAUUAAAAAAUUGGGAAUGGGAGAUCUUGUAUGUUGUAUUUUGUACUUAUCUUAGGUGGGGUAUAUUGAUGGAGGGACAGGAUGUUGAAGUAGAUCGGUGGACGGGUGGAUGGAUGUGGUUGGUGGAUUCAAUCCAUUCCAUGGAUGUGAGAACUUACUCAUCUAUGGCCAUUGAUGGAACGUGUAUUCAAUCCAUUGCUGAACUUUUAUCUCUCUGGUACAUUUCUUUUCAUACUAUUGCUUUGAAAGACUGGUUAGAAUUCCAUCUUACGUUACUAUGGAGCAAAUUCCACUCUUGGACUCAGGCGGGCUGCCUACAAUCAUGGCUACCACCUUAGAUUGCACAUGAUCCUUAAUUCCACUCAGGUAAGACCAUUGUAAAUUACUACUGUCCAUUUUGCAUGUCCUUGAGCUUAUUGUUUUGAUCGUCCGAUCAUGCUCAUUUUGGGCCCAUUUACAUUCCACCAUGGACCCUCGUAUUUUAUCAUAGUUAGUGAUCAAAGGUGGAUUCACUUGGGUUCCAUGGGAAAUUUGCAUAUGAAUCGAGGUAAGAAGAAUUCUGACUGAUUAGUCUGCUUUGAAAAUUUGAAUAUGUAACAAAAUCCUAUUCAGUUUUACAUAUGAUUUUGUAUUCUUAUCAAAGUUCAGAAGC
Molecule: long non-coding RNA, 1630 nt
Organism: Magnolia sinica
Lineage: Eukaryota; Viridiplantae; Streptophyta; Magnoliopsida; Magnoliales; Magnoliaceae
Exons: 2
Source: RefSeq, a predicted model, not a curated record